Fukomys damarensis (Damara mole-rat) is the source of this 104-nucleotide non-coding RNA. The record is from Rfam. NCBI's taxonomy places the organism in Eukaryota, Metazoa, Chordata, Mammalia, Rodentia, Bathyergidae.
AGCCUCUUGUGGUUCAUAAGCAUGAUAAUUGGGCUUUCCCAUCAUUCUAUGAAAUGUGCCUUGCUCAAAUCUUGUUAGGAUGUCAGCUCAUUACCUGACUGAUG